UGACGGGUAACGGGGAAUUAGGGUUCGAUUCCGGAGAGGGAGCCUGAGAAACGGCUACCACAUCUAAGGAAGGCAGCAGGCGCGCAAAUUACCCAAUCCUAAUACAGGGAGGUAGUGACAAGAAAUAACAAUACAGGACUUAAUUGUUUUGUAAUUGGAAUGAGUUAAGUAUAAACCCCUUUACAAGUAUCAAUUGGAGGGCAAGUCUGGUGCCAGCAGCCGCGGUAAUUCCAGCUCCAAUAGCGUAUAUUAAAGUUGUUGCAGUUAAAAAGCUCGUAGUUGGAUUUCUGUUAAUAUUUUAUAUUAUUAAUUAUUAUUAUUAAUAUAAUAUUAACAUAAUUCAUAUUACUUUUUUUAAGUAUAUGAAAUUUUACUUUGAGAAAAUUAGAGUGCUUAAAGCAGGCUUUUGCCUUGAAUACUCCAGCAUGGAAUAAUAUUAAAGAUUUUUAUCUUUCUUAUUGGUUCUAAGAUAGAAAUAAUGAUUAAUAGGG
This 491-nucleotide ribosomal RNA is filed under the name Cryptosporidium sp. RNAcentral describes it as "SSU rRNA". It matches the Rfam family "Eukaryotic small subunit ribosomal RNA", at positions 353 to 877 of the family's 1831-position model. The record is from RNAcentral. Lineage: Eukaryota; Apicomplexa; Conoidasida; Eucoccidiorida; Cryptosporidiidae.